This is a long non-coding RNA of Mandrillus leucophaeus (drill), 610 nucleotides long. RefSeq lists it as uncharacterized. Lineage: Eukaryota; Metazoa; Chordata; Mammalia; Primates; Cercopithecidae. The transcript has 2 exons. The record is from RefSeq and is a predicted model, not a curated record.
AAUGUUCACUCUGGGGGAAGCCAGCUGCCAUGCCGUAAGGACACUCAGGCAGUCCUAUGAAGAGGCCCAUGAGGUGAGAAAGUGAGGCCUUCAGCCAACAGCCAUGUGAGGAAACAGCCUGUCAUCCCAGCUGAGGCCAUCCUAGAUCAGCCAACUGUCAGCUGCUUGUGUGUGAGUGAACCCCAGCCAAGACCAGAAGACCCGCACAGCUGAGCUCAGCCAAGAUCAGCAAAACCUCUCAGCUUAUAAUCAUAUAAACUUAACAGUUUAGGUGUGGUUGUGACACAGAUUUAUUGUAUUAUUGUAUGCAUGUAUGCAUUGUAAGCAUUAUAUAUUACACAUGGGAAUCAUAGAAACAGUGAAAAGUCAGUAAUUUCUGGAGUAUAUAUUGAAGUUAGAGCAAAUUGUGUGAGGUAGAGAAGCCACAUACUCCAAAUUUCUGGUCUGAGAGAUUGGAAGAAUGAAUAUGGAUGAUGGAGGCAGACAUUGAAUCUGAAACAAAUUUUUCAUUUUGUGAAAUUUUGUGAAAUUUCAUUUUGUGUUGAAUAUCUUGUGACUCACUGAAAUGAAAAUUGUAAAAUAAAAUUUGUCCCUAAUGCAUAAAAUUUUA